AAAAAAAAAAAAAAAAAAGAAAAUAGAGGCAGAGAUUCUUAGCCAAGGCUUACAUUUAAAAAUGUAAAAUGUAAUUUUAAUUAAAUGUACAUUUAAUUGCACGUGUAUAACUGUGGGGUAUAAGUGUGGUUUGUCGGUUCGAAGGCAGAUUCACAGCUUUGCUUUAGCACACACUUUUGCUCUCAAGAGCUGUAGACACUGCAAACAUUGAAACAGUCAUUUAUAAAGGGAAUACUCGGUAUAGGACACUCUGGCUGGUAACUUCCAUUUAGUUUAGAUGAGCUUGCCAGGUAGCAAAAACCAGCGUUUCUCUAUUCACUAGAGCCUUUUGGAGAGGUGCCGUGUGACAGGGAGGCUGUCGGAGGCAGAAGUGUUUGCAUGGGAUGGAGACUGCAACUACCGUAACUGUCCCUGUGGCAAGAACACCCACAGAAACAGGUCUCAACUCUGGCCAGAUCCUCGUGAUUUUUGGAUGGCGUGACUUGAAGCGGCACAUUUUGGCAGGAGUCACAUAGCAUUUUAUACUAUUGCCUCCCUCCUUGUUACUCAGGCCUUAAGCUUGAAGGUCUAAAGCACAGGUUCUGGAACCAAAAAAAUACAGACAGCAAGGCUUCCAAACACUGGCCCUUUAGAAAGCUCUGAGCUGAACCUGCCAAGUAUGCUGAGUGAAGGACAGAAGGUUGUAAGUCUUACAUCCAUAUAUGUUGUUCUUAAUAUUCACCAUGGGCACACCUACAGCUGGAACAACACUUCUGGAUAGGAGAGAGCUCUGCAAAAGAAGGUUGCAGUGAUAGUGAUGGCCAGCCUGGGCCAUGGGAAUAGUCUCAUGUCUCUCCCAUGCAUCUGUUUCCCUCCAGAGGCUGGGCAUGUCUUGCAUCUACACAAUAAGGGAAGGAAUGUGAGCCCUCCACCACACCUCUAGCUUUCAACAUUUGCUGAGCCUGUUUGUCUAUUUUGGUUUUGGUUUUUUUUGUUUUGUUUUCACCUGUGACUUUUGAGAUUGUAAUCUCAGCAGGGUAGGGACUGCCUUGUGUUCUAGAUUUGUACACUGACUGUGCCUGGGAUCUUUAGCUGAUGUGCUAAUAAUGAAUAAGCAUAAUUUUCUUGGGGGGUACUCUUCAAGGAUUCAUCUGGACCUGAUUUGUCUAAGGAUAAAAUAGACCAUUUCCUUUGGAAGAAAUGGGCUCAUGAUAACCACUCGAUUAAAAGGAUCUCUUUCUGCAGAGGUGAACACAAGUGUUGCACUCAGUAGUGUUCAUCAUGGAUUUGCAUAGACUGAAUAGUACAUCAUGUCCCUCUUUCUCCUAAAUUUAGGG
This 1316-nucleotide long non-coding RNA is filed under the name Parus major (Great Tit). RNAcentral describes it as "lncRNA (ENSPMJG00000018392.1)". Lineage: Eukaryota; Metazoa; Chordata; Aves; Passeriformes; Paridae. The record is from RNAcentral.